CCUACGGGUGGCAGCGGUGAGGAAUCUUGGUCAAUGGGAGAGAUCCUGAACCAGCCAAGCCGCGUGAGGGAAGACGGCCCUAUGGUUUGUGAACCUCUUUUGUCGGAGAACAAAACCCGGGACGUGUCACGGACUGCGUGUAUCCGAAUAAAAAGCAUCGACUAACUCCGGUCCAGCACCCGCGGUAAUACGGGUGAUGCGAGCGUUAUCCGGAUUGAUUUGGUUUAAAGGGUGCGUAGGCGGUCCGUGAAGUUGGUGGUAAACUUGCGGGGUUAAACCCCGUAGAGCCGUUGAAAAUGGCAGACUUGAGUUUGCAAGAAGGACGCGGAAUGCGAGGUGUAGCGGUGAAAUGCAUAG
This 357-nucleotide ribosomal RNA is filed under the name uncultured bacterium. RNAcentral's name for it is "partial 16S ribosomal RNA". It matches the Rfam family "Bacterial small subunit ribosomal RNA", at positions 338 to 693 of the family's 1533-position model. The record is from RNAcentral.